This 428-nucleotide ribosomal RNA is filed under the name uncultured bacterium. Its description in RNAcentral is "partial 16S ribosomal RNA". It matches the Rfam family "Bacterial small subunit ribosomal RNA", at positions 354 to 796 of the family's 1533-position model. The record is from RNAcentral.
GUCGAGAAUCUUCCGCAAUGCGCGAAAGCGUGACGGAGCGACACCGCGUGAUGGAUGAAGUCCUUCGGGGCGUAAACAUCUUUUAUAAAGGAGGAAAUUUUUGACGUUACUUUAUGAAUAAGGGGCUCCCAAUCUCGUGCCAGCAGGAGCGGUAAUACGAGAGCCUCAAGCGUUAUCCGGAAUCAUUGGGCGUAAAGGGUGCGUAGGUGGUUUGAUUAGUCUCCCGUUAAAACUUCGAGCUUAACUCGAAAAGAGCGGGGGAAACAGUCAAACUAGAGUAUGUGAGAGGUGUGUGGAACUCAUGGUGUAGGGGUGAAAUCCGUUGAUAUCAUGGGGAACACCAAAAGCGAAGGCAGCACACUGGAACAUCACUGACACUGAGGCACGAAACCUAAGGUAGCGAAUGGGAUUAGAAACCCCAGUAGUCC